RNA transcript from Mesocricetus auratus (golden hamster), 4201 nucleotides. It is a transcript of the gene named double PHD fingers 3, with no coding region annotated. The transcript is spliced from 10 exons. NCBI's taxonomy places the organism in Eukaryota, Metazoa, Chordata, Mammalia, Rodentia, Cricetidae. The record is from RefSeq and is a predicted model, not a curated record.
AUUUAAAGCCUGACCUUGAGAUCCAAGUUGGAAUGUUGGGAAGGCUAUCUCAGCUUUAACUAGAGCUAAAGAUAGCAGGGGAGAAAUUUUCUCAGAGAUGAAGCUUAAAGGAAGUGGAAGUUAUUUGCUUUUGGAGAAUAUUUGCGACUCUGAGAGAAGAAUCGGAACUGACUCUCCUUUUUUGUUAAAGCAUUUUAAAGUCUGCAAAGGGCUUGUGGCUUCCCAGCGACCCUGAAGAGGACAUCAGGAUGACUGGGACAGGAACUGGACUCACAUGUGGUUGUGAGCUGCCUUGCCUGAUGCUUGGGGACCAGUUCUACAAGGAAGCCAUUGAACAUUGCCGGAGCUACAAUUCACGGCUGUGUGCAGAGCGGAGUGUGCGUCUCCCCUUCCUGGACUCCCAGACUGGGGUGGCGCAGAACAAUUGCUACAUCUGGAUGGAGAAGAGGCACCGAGGCCCAGGCCUUGCUCCGGGACAGCUGUACACGUACCCUGCCCGCUGCUGGCGCAAGAAGCGACGAUUGCACCCACCAGAGGACCCGAAGCUGCGACUCCUGGAAAUAAAACCUGAAGUAGAGUUACCCCUGAAGAAAGACGGCUUCACCUCUGAGAGUACCACAUUGGAAGCCCUGCUUCGUGGUGAGGGAGUGGAGAAGAAGGUGGAUGCCAGAGAGGAGGAAAGCAUCCAGGAAAUACAGAGGGUUUUGGAAAAUGACGAAAAUGUAGAAGAAGGGAAUGAAGAGGAGGAUUUGGAAGAGGACAUUCCCAAGCGCAAGAACAGGACCAGAGGACGGGCUCGUGGCUCUGCAGGCGGCAGGAGGAGACAUGAUGCUGCUUCUCAGGAAGACCAUGACAAACCCUACGUGUGUGACAUCUGUGGCAAACGCUACAAGAACCGGCCGGGGCUCAGCUACCACUACGCUCACACUCACCUGGCCAGCGAGGAGGGAGAUGAAGCCCAAGGCCAGGACACCCGGUCCCCGCCCAACCACAGAAAUGAGAACCACAGGCCCCAGAAAGGACCAGAUGGGACGGUCAUUCCCAAUAACUACUGUGACUUCUGUUUGGGAGGCUCGAACAUGAACAAGAAGAGCGGGAGGCCUGAAGAGCUGGUGUCCUGUGCAGACUGCGGACGUUCUGCUCAUUUGGGAGGAGAAGGCAGGAAGGAGAAGGAGGCAGCGGCGGCAGCACGUACCACGGAGGACUUAUUCGGUUCCACGUCAGAAAGUGACACCUCAACUUUCUACGGCUUUGAUGAGGACGAUUUGGAAGAGCCUCGCUCCUGUCGAGGACGCCGCAGUGGCCGGGGUUCACCCACAGCAGAUAAAAAGGGCAACUGCUGAGCCCAUGGGACAGACUGUCUGGCCAAUUAGCCAACCCCUCUGACUCUGGUCAUUGUUCUAGUUCUGAUAUAUAUUUUUAAAUGAAAGAUGACUUGGGCUUUUCCCGUUAUCCUUGCUUUUUCCUCCUACCUUCCAUGUGCCCCUCCCCCUCCUAGCAUCCUUCUAUUCUGGGUACAACAGAAGCACAAACUACUGAAAACAAAACAACAAAAGAGCAGAAUAAGCACCCUCUGGGGAGAGAUGGCACCAUAGUGGGCUAUUUAUUUUCCCUAGAAAUAGAAGUUAGGUGGAUUUUCUUUCUGCUGGGGAGGGCAACUUUUUGAUGUGAGCAGAGUUGAUUUUCCCAGUUUUCAAGGGAACAAGAGCAUGAGGUUUGGAAACAAAGAACAAAUAACAUUAACAAUUAUUAUUUAUAUAUGCUACCUAUUAUUAGUUUCAGAUGAGGGAAGAGAGAGAGAGAGAGGGAGGGAGAGAAUCAAAGAAAUGAAAGUAAUACCCUGUUUAGGGGCAAGCCUGUGUGUGUGUGUGUGUGUGUGUGUGUGUGUGUGUGUGUGUACGUGUGCAUGUGUGUGUGAGUGUGCGUGCGUGCUUGUGUGUGUGUGUGUGUGUGUGUGUAGAAUUUCCUCAAUGGGAGUUGGUGGCUCCGCAGAGCAGACCCCUCCCCAUGUCUCCUCCAUGACCUUUACAUCUUUCUCUCUGCUGUGAGAAAAUGGCAGCCAUUCCAGAGAAGCCUGGGGCCACUUACAUUUGGCCUCCUUCCAGCGCUGGCCCUGGCCAGCAGUGGCCGCUCCCCUCGGCUCCUCUUCUCUCCUUGUUGCUGGGUUUCCCUCACUUUCGUCCUGGCAAAGAUCAGCGUCCGCCCGUGCAUCUGAACACAGGAACGGGAUGUCAGCGAGUCACAGGCUCCGCUCUGGCAGAGCACCUGAGGGGGCACUCCUGGAAGGAAGGGUGAUACCGCACAAUGUAGCCCCUUCCCUCAGCCCUGCGUAAAAACAUGGAACCGCCCACUGGAUUAUGACGUCUUCCGUAUUUCUUCUACUUUUUAUAGUGCCUGCCAGGCACGUUGUUUUAUCUUUCCAAUAGCAUUUCCUGAAAUAAACCAAAGCAACACUUGGUCCGAGACUCAGGGAUAAGGAAGACUGCCCACCUCAUUGGCAGUCCCCGAGAACAGCUGGGAGGCCCUGCUUGAACAGUCCGCUCUGUGACCCAGGAACUGCACGUCCUGCAAGCAAGCCAUUCCUGAAGAAAGUGAAGCGAAUCCAGACAAGGAGCCUCUCCUCCUCCUCCUCCUCUUCUCCUUGUCCAGCCGGUCCUGAGCAUGGAUUUCAGCUAAUGCCGGAACCUGCAGGGAUUGGAUAGAAAAGCCUCCAGCAUCUCUCAACUCUGCUCAGCCAAGUUUCGGAAAUGGCUCAAGUUUGUGCAAUAAGAAGAUUUUAUUUUAUUUUUUCCUUUUAAAAGUCUUCAUUGCCUUUGCUUGAAAUGUCUGAGAAAGUACCCAGCUCGGAGUGGAAUUUGCUCUGCGAUAGAAAUAACAAUGCAAACUGACAAAGACAAAAAAAAGUGAACUAUUUUAUUUAUUUCAAUAUUUAAAAGAAAAAAGUGCUGACAUUGCACUGUAUUUUUGUUUAAAGUACCUUCUACUUCAAAAGUUAAAAAAAAAGCAAUUUUGUGAAGACCUGAAAUCUAAAGAGUGCUUACUGUAAAAUAAAUGCAUCGUAUUGACUUUACGGAAAAGUACCCCACAUUUUUAAUAAGGAAAUAAAGAUCAGAUCUGCUCUCUCAGGCUUUUAAGAAAGCCAUUUGUGUAUGUCCUUUAGGGUUCUGUUGUUGUUGUUAAUUUCUGCUAGUUGGAUAUGGUAAGAAAGGACUGGUCAGUCCUUCCAAAAUCCCCUGCAAAGUAUUGUUGAUAUUAAGUAAUUAUGUGUUAGGAUUUGACUAAAAUAAAUUAGCUCCAGGCCGGCAGUGUGGCCCACUCUCUACUCUCCCUCACCUCAGAUGAUCAGAAUGUGAAGCUGCAGAGGGCCCAUCUUGUCUCAUGAGGCCUGAUCGAGGAAGGAAUUCUACCUACUGAUUGAAUGCGUUGCUGCCAAGGUUAGAGAUGCAAACAGAAAUGAUUCUGUUUCAAACAGUUCAGUGAAGAAAAACAAAACAGCCACAAGUCAGCAGUGGACGAGGUGCCGUUAGUUCAGUCAGGAGUUGUCCAGGGUGCUCUGCCGAGCAGACAUCAGAGGGCCCGAGAGCCUAGAGUUUCUCUGAAGACUAGGGAGUUGACUGGAAGGAUAUAAACUUGAAACUAAGUUAUUUGUGUGAAGAAGUAGGAAGGCCAGUGUUCUAUGUGUGUCCUUUAUGGCUCUUAUGGCCAAUGAAAUGGAAUUUGGCAUUGCAUGUUUGACCUAGCCCAGGAAGUCAGCGGACUGACUGGGUCACUGGGUUCUACCUCUUGGCUUCUACUUAGCUUGUCUUUUACAUGUCCAGAGCAGAGUCAUGGAUGACACAUUACAGUUCAAGGCUGGACAUUCUUGUUAGCAAAGGUGCUUGAGCCACAGUAUUACUGAAAUGUCCCCAGCCUGAGAAUAAAUCUCACCUAACAUUGCAAGGGAAGGGUGGAUGGGCAGACUUUCCAUUAGACCCUUCAGGUUUCCCACUCAAGAGAAGGGCGAUGUCAUCAAAAGUGUGUUUCUAUCAUUUUCUGAUAGAAAAUGCCCCUUGUCAAAAAUGUUAAUUAUAAUAAUGAUCUGUUCUCCAACCCACACUCACAAGUUACGAUACAUGUAGAAUUGUGAUAAAGCUUUGCAUAAUGUAGGGUUUGUGUGAAGUCUGUAAGUUCUGUUAAAUAAAAGACUUUUCCAAUGGUCUUA